GACGAACGCUGGCGGCGUGCCUAAUACAUGCAAGUAGAACGCUGAAGAGAGGAGCUUGCUCUUCUUGGAUGAGUUGCGAACGGGUGAGUAACGCGUAGGUAACCUGCCUUGUAGCGGGGGAUAACUAUUGGAAACGAUAGCUAAUACCGCAUAACAAUGGAUGACACAUGUCAUUUAUUUGAAAGGGGCAAUUGCUCCACUACAAGAUGGACCUGCGUUGUAUUAGCUAGUAGGUGAGGUAAUGGCUCACCUAGGCGACGAUACAUAGCCGACCUGAGAGGGUGAUCGGCCACACUGGGACUGAGACACGGCCCAGACUCCUACGGGAGGCAGCAGUAGGGAAUCUUCGGCAAUGGGGGCAACCCUGACCGAGCAACGCCGCGUGAGUGAAGAAGGUUUUCGGAUCGUAAAGCUCUGUUGUAAGUAAAGAACGGGUGUGAGAGUGGAAAGUUCACACUGUGACGGUAGCUUACCAGAAAGGGACGGCUAACUACGUG
This 497-nucleotide ribosomal RNA is filed under the name uncultured bacterium. RNAcentral's name for it is "partial 16S ribosomal RNA". It matches the Rfam family "Bacterial small subunit ribosomal RNA", at positions 28 to 507 of the family's 1533-position model. The record is from RNAcentral.